CCCAGCUUUAUUGUCCAGGGCUGGCUCCCUGGACAGGGAACCCUGGACUGUAUAAAAUGGAGAAAGAGAACAGAACAAGAGCAGUCAUGCUUCUGUUCCUUUCUGCUUCCUGACUGCGGAUGCAGUGUGACCCGAGGCUGUGAGCUCUGGCUGCCUUCCCUGCCAUAUGGACAUGCCUGGGACUAAAUGGCUUUCGUGAGGAAGGCUCUUCGUCACUCUUCUCUACCUGAGAACCGAGCGUGCCUUAGAGCAAGAUGCUGCCAUAUGGAUCUUGGGCUUCCCAGCCUCCAAAACUGAGGAACAAUCUCGGUUAUUUAGAAGUUACUAAGUACUACAAUUGGAAUCUGAAAUGUCCCUGAGCUCUCAGCUUCGUGAUUUUUUUAGUUUGCUUUGGGCAUGAACCACUGGGCUUGUGCCGGGACUGCGCUGACCCGGGGCUUCAUACAUGCUAGGCAAGAGCGCUACUGCCUGAGCCUCAACCUCAGACUUGAGGUUCUUGUUUUGAAAGUUCUGCCCCAGUUUGCCAUGCUGUUCUGAAGCUGUGGAGUCUUCAGGAGGUGAGGCCUGACUGGAAGAAAU
RNAcentral lists this long non-coding RNA (579 nucleotides) under Cricetulus griseus (Chinese hamster). RNAcentral describes it as "lncRNA (ENSCGRG00015033653.1)". The record is from RNAcentral. Lineage: Eukaryota; Metazoa; Chordata; Mammalia; Rodentia; Cricetidae.